RNAcentral lists this microRNA precursor (100 nucleotides) under Bigelowiella natans CCMP2755. Its description in RNAcentral is "miRNA EPrBNAG00000013224". It matches the Rfam family "mir-598 microRNA precursor family". The record is from RNAcentral. Lineage: Eukaryota; Cercozoa; Chlorarachniophyceae.
CGACGACGAUGAUGAUGAUGAUGAUGAUGAUGAUGAUUAUCGAUGAAGAUGAUGAUGAUGAUGAUGAUGAUGAUUAUCAUCAUCAUCAUCAUCAUCUCUA